Molecule: long non-coding RNA, 1032 nt
Organism: Hemibagrus wyckioides
Lineage: Eukaryota; Metazoa; Chordata; Actinopteri; Siluriformes; Bagridae
Exons: 5
Source: RefSeq, a predicted model, not a curated record
AUUUGGCGCGCGUGCAGAGAGCGUUUCAGUCAAAAUCGCGAUCAACUAAAAUGAUCAACAUUUACUCAAUUCCUCUACACUCCGGGGGCAAAAUUCGGGAUAAAACAUUAGGGGCUAGAUUAAAAUAAUAACCCUAGCGACGCCUCUGCAUGGAGACACAUUGUGACUGUGGAUCUACAAAUGGAGACAUUUUGGGACUGUGGCUACUCUACCAAGAAGUGGGCGCCCAGUCAAAAUGGCCCCAAGAACGCAACAAGACUCAUCAUUGAGAUCUGACUGAAGAGGCUUUGGAUUUGGCCACACCAACAUGUUCUGCAAUCGAUCAUCUAAAACAAGGAGCAGGGCCAACAAAGUCUCCUGAAGAGUUUCAUGGUGGAAAAGGGAAGAUGGAGGUUAUGCUAAGAUGUUUGGUUUUGUGGCUCGAAAGCAAGGAAGCACAACUGAUAAUGUGAGUCACCUGUUUGCUGAGCUUGAAUGCCAUCAGCCUGCCACAGCCAUUGUCAAUUUUGUUUCCAAAGUAAUGUUUAAUUCCCAAAACUUGUGAGUGUGUGUUUCUCAAUGCUAGAGCAGGUUUGUUAUUUUUGUUGUUUUUUCUGCCAGUGUGGACAAAUGUCCUUCAAGUCAAAAACACUUGACAUUUGGGACUUUAUUCUAGUUUUGGGUGUUCUAGCAGUUAUGGGCAUAAUUGAGUGACACACAGCAAAUCCAGAUAACCUUGCUGGGAAUGGAAAACUAUUUGGAGAUUUUCGAAAUUAGAACUAUGGCAAGAGAACAUGGUUAAACAACCAAAGUUAACACUCAACAACGAUAUGCCAUAUGGAUAAUGUGUUUCUCAAUUUCUUUGUUGUUCUUUAUGUAUAAAAUAAAAAUUAGAAUGUUUGAUUGCAUGGAACACUGUUUAGGAGAAUAACUAAGCUGGAUGUUAUGUUUUAUUUUUGUUUGCUUUUUUUUGUGUUUUUCUUGUAUAAACAGCUUUAAAAUGAAAUGAUGAAAAGUAUAUGAUAAUAGGUAUGAAAAUAUUAAUAGAUAUGA